This 253-nucleotide ribosomal RNA is filed under the name uncultured bacterium. RNAcentral's name for it is "partial 16S ribosomal RNA". It matches the Rfam family "Bacterial small subunit ribosomal RNA", at positions 524 to 776 of the family's 1533-position model. The record is from RNAcentral.
GACGUAGGAGGCGAGCGUUGUCCGGAUUCAUUGGGCGUAAAGAGCACGCAGGCGGUUUGGCAAGUCGGAUGUGAAAACCCGAAGCUCAACUUCGGGCCUGCAUCCGAAACUGCCCGACUAGAGGUAGGUAGGGGAGAUCGGAACUCCUGGUGUAGCGGUGAAAUGCGCAGAUAUCAGGAGGAACACCGGUGGCGAAGGCGGAUCUCUGGGCCUUACCUGACGCUCAGGUGCGAAAGCUAGGGGAGCGAACGGG